RNAcentral lists this transfer RNA (76 nucleotides) under Alphaproteobacteria bacterium. RNAcentral's name for it is "tRNA-Ile". It matches the Rfam family "tRNA". Rfam says of the family: Transfer RNA (tRNA) molecules are approximately 80 nucleotides in length. Their secondary structure includes four short double-helical elements and three loops (D, anti-codon, and T loops). The record is from RNAcentral. Lineage: Bacteria; Pseudomonadati; Pseudomonadota; Alphaproteobacteria. RNAcentral also lists the same sequence under 2 other names.
GGGCCCGUAGCUCAGUGGUUAGAGCCGGCCGCUCAUAACGGUCUGGUCGCCAGUUCAAAUCUGGCCGGGCCCACCA